RNAcentral lists this ribosomal RNA (418 nucleotides) under uncultured bacterium. RNAcentral describes it as "partial 16S ribosomal RNA". It matches the Rfam family "Bacterial small subunit ribosomal RNA", at positions 363 to 773 of the family's 1533-position model. The record is from RNAcentral.
CUUCCACAAUGGACGGAAGUCUGAUGGAGCAACGCCGCGUGAGCGAAGAAGCUUUUCGGCUCGUAAACCUCUGUUGUAAGGGAACAACACGUACGGGAGUCCCAGCCCGUACCUUGAAGGUACCUUAUCAGAAAGCCACGGCGACCUACCUUCCAGCAGCCGCGGUAAUACGUAGGUGGCAAGCGUUGUCCGGAACUAUUGGGCGUAAAGCGCGCGCAGGCUGUCCUUUAAGUCUGAUGUGAAAGCCCACGGCUCAACCGUGGAGGGUCAUUGGAAACUGGAGGACUUGAGUACAGAAGAGGAAAGCGGAAUUCCACGUGUAGCGGUGAAAUGCGUAGAGAUGUGGAGGAACACCAGUGGCGAAGGCGGCUUUCUGGUCUGUAACUGACGCUGAGGCGCGAAAGCGUGGGGAGCAAAC